Molecule: RNA transcript, 7362 nt
Organism: Homo sapiens (human)
Lineage: Eukaryota; Metazoa; Chordata; Mammalia; Primates; Hominidae
Gene: CFAP298-TCP10L
Gene name: CFAP298-TCP10L readthrough
Exons: 12
Source: RefSeq, marked validated
AGCGUGGGAUUCCGGACUGUGAGCGGCUGUUAGUGCGUCGCAGCUGCUGGCGAUCCGGCGACCCUCGGCCGGCAGGACCCGCGGGCCACGCAGCCGGGGCCUUCUCAACGCCUCAGUACCUCGGCGGGACCGCCAUGGUUCUGCUGCACGUGAAGCGGGGCGACGAGAGCCAGUUCCUGCUGCAGGCGCCUGGGAGUACCGAGCUGGAGGAGCUCACGGUGCAGGUGGCCCGGGUCUAUAAUGGGCGGCUCAAGGUGCAGCGCCUCUGCUCAGAAAUGGAAGAAUUAGCCGAACAUGGCAUAUUUCUCCCUCCUAAUAUGCAAGGACUGACCGAUGAUCAGAUUGAAGAAUUGAAAUUGAAGGAUGAAUGGGGUGAAAAAUGCGUACCCAGCGGAGGUGCAGUGUUUAAAAAGGAUGAUAUUGGACGAAGGAAUGGGCAAGCUCCAAAUGAGAAGAUGAAGCAAGUGUUAAAGAAGACUAUAGAAGAAGCCAAAGCAAUAAUAUCUAAGAAACAAGUGGAAGCCGGUGUCUGUGUUACCAUGGAGAUGGUGAAAGAUGCCUUGGACCAGCUUCGAGGCGCGGUGAUGAUUGUUUACCCCAUGGGGUUGCCACCGUAUGAUCCCAUCCGCAUGGAGUUUGAAAAUAAGGAAGACUUGUCGGGAACACAGGCAGGGCUCAACGUCAUUAAAGAGGCAGAGGCGCAGCUGUGGUGGGCAGCCAAGGAGCUGAGAAGAACGAAGAAGCUUUCAGACUACGUGGGGAAGAAUGAAAAAACCAAAAUUAUCGCCAAGAUUCAGCAACCAUUACAGCAGCAGAUCAUCAGACUCCACCAAGAGCUUGGGAGACAGAAGUCUCUGUGGGCUGAUGUUCAUGGAAAACUCCGGAGUCAUAUAGAUGCUUUGAGGGAGCAGAACAUGGAGCUCCGAGAAAAGCUGAGAGCUCUGCAGCUGCAGCGGUGGAAAGCCAGGAAGAAAUCUGCAGCGUCCCCACACGCGGGGCAAGAAUCGCACACUCUGGCAUUGGAACCUGCUUUUGGAAAAAUUUCACCUCUGUCAGCUGAUGAAGAGACAAUACCCAAAUACGCUGGCCACAAGAAUCAGAGUGCCACUCUCCUGGGACAAAGAUCGUCAUCUAACAAUUCAGCUCCUCCAAAGCCAAUGAGUUUAAAGAUAGAAAGAAUUAGCUCGUGGAAAACACCACCACAGGAAAAUAGAGAUAAAAAUCUUUCCAGGAGACGUCAAGACAGAAGAGCAACACCUACUGGAAGGCCAACUCCCUGUGCAGAGAGACGGGGGGGUGUCUGAAGAUGGAAAGGUGGCCUCGGACACCUGUGUCACUCUACACUGGCCCCUUGGAAAAUUCAGAUUCAGAUAAAGUUCCACUUAGGUCUAAUAAAAGUACUCAAUUUGUUAUUCAAAAUAGACCUAGUAAUUUAUUAAACUAAUUAUGUUUCUAUAGAUAAAAACUUGAAGUUCUUCAGACAUGUCUCUAAUGCUAUAAAAGCAAACAACUUGGAUUGGGUUUUAUAAAUCAGUUGCUUUCCUGAGCUCUGUAGUUGGUAUAUUUCUGCAGAGUCUUUAAAAAAAUUAACCCACCUUGUAGUAUGGAGUGUCGGGCUGUUGGGUGAGCCCUGGGGUCUUGCUGGAAAUCGAGGAUGGCUGAAGAUGGCUUUGUGCUCCCAGCCUUUGGGCUCAAGGCAUUGCCCGCUCCAGGGACCUUGUGACAAGGCGGGCCUGUGACUGUCAUUGCCCCAGGCUAUGCAUCCAUCUUCCCGAAGUCUGCAAAACUUGAGUGGCAGAAAAUCACCAGUGCAGGCUUCCCAGGCCGCCAUGCUGCAGGAGCAGAUGGCAGCAGCCGGAGGAGCUGGUGAGCAGAGUUGGGGACUCCUGUUUCUAUGCUCCCCGUGAAAUGCGGGGCUUUCUCGUGGAUACGCGUGAGCAGAACAUCUUACUAUGGCAAGGACAUGUCCUUCCUGGAGCUGCCUAAUUUGUGGCCACUUUUUGUCUGAUUCCCUCGUUGGGUCCUCACCUGUGAGACUUGCCAACACCCCCAGCCCUCCACCCCACACACAGCCCACAUGCCGGUCUCCAGGGGCCGUGACUGGAGAUUCCGAAUCCUAGCGGUCACUUCCCUCUGAGCACACUCCCAGCAGAAGGCGUGUGGCUGGGGCUAGAUGCACUUGGGUGCUUUGUUCCCCUUUCUCCAUUUGCCAGCCCAUGGCAUUGCUGCCACCCUGAUGGAGCGCCCUCUCAUCUGGCACCUUCCUGGCCUCUUUCCCAGGCCCCAGUUCUGUCCAUGCAGCUGUGGGUGCUUCCUGCAUUGCGGGUCUCACGGGGAGGAGACGAGAGUGCCCCUGGUUGAGUCAGGAAAGAAUUCUAUCUUCACGUCGCUGCCAGCAAAUGACCACAGCAGCUUCACGACCUCUGCAGGAACCUAUCUUGGUAAAGAAACGGGGCCUAUGUGGUGGCCGAGCCUCAGGUGUGGCCGAGCUUCAGGUGUGGCCCUUAUGCACAGCACAGCCCAAGCCUGUGGGCACCACUCGCCCUGGGCUGCCUGGCACCUGGACUCCUUCCCAUCCUUGGCCGAGGUCUGCGUGGCCCUUCAGGGCCGAAUCUGACACUGUCUUCCUCCUGAGUCUGCCCCCCGGGCUUCCUGCCCACCCCCAGGCUGUUUCAUGGCCUCUGCAGGGAGCUUCGUAGAGGUGAGGCUGGUGCCAUCUGUCUGCUUCAGACCACCUCAGGCUCUGCGUGCCCUCACAGUCCCCUCUGCACUUCUCUGUGGGGCAGGGAAGCCCUUCCCAUCAGGUCUGCUCCAGCCUGGCUACCUUGUUCCUGCUGUCCCCUCCCCUUCAGGCCCCCGGACAAGACUUCAGUGUACUUGCUGGUGCCGGGCAGAAUGGGGGACCUUGCCUCUCACACACACCUGCUAGUAUCUCCGCAACCUCCAGGCAUCAUCUCAGCUGACAGUGACGCCAUCCUGGGGAAGCUCCCCUGACUCCUGGCUCUCCUGGAAGCCUGUGGUGCUCCUUCACAAUGGCCCGUGGCCCUUCAUAGGUCCCGUAAGCCAGUGUCACAGGGAUUCGGCUUUUCUCUUCUGUGUUUGCCUGCUGCGGGACUGUGAGCAGCUUCAGGGCCAAGACAGUGCCUUUCCAUCCGUGAAUCUCCUGAUCCAUCAGAAUACUCGAAAGAGAAAUACCGACUGAGUGUAUUCAUUAAAGAAUUAAUGUUCCUUACAGGAUCAUUUGUUGUUGAACUGACCUGACAUGUGUAUAGUAAUCUCAUGAACAAGAAAGAAUGUGUUCACACGUUUGCUUAAAUUGAAUUUAGCAAUCGCAUUAGGAUACUGAUAUUUCCACAAUGUAUAUACACUAUCCUUUUAAAUUUAACUUAUUUGCUUUUUAGACGGAAGCUCCUCAGUCUUAGAGAGUUCUGAAGGUGGAUUUCUCAGCCACGUUCAACCUGAUGAGUUCACUGCUUCUUCCCCAAACAUUGCAGAGCUGCAGGAAAUUUGGGCUGUGAACUUACGUGUGAUGUUUACUAUUAUGCAAAUGCUCAGACGACACACACGACCUACCCUGAUGGUUUGGAAGUUGUGCAGUUUCUUAACAAGCAGACAGAUCUUUGUAAAGAAGAUGCUGAAUGUGGAUGUAGAAAAGAUGCAGACCCUGAGGCUGAAGAGGGAGGAAGCUGGAAACUCCGUGCGGGUAACUGAAUGCUAAGGCUGCUUCCUGGCCUCCAGCGGUGUCUGAGGAAAGGAGCAUAGCUGCAAAUCCAAGGAUACACAAAGGAGCCAUGCUGCCAAGUAAGAGCCCGUCUUCCAUCCAUUGCUCUCAAGCACUAUCUACCAGAUCGCAGCCCAAACUACAACAACAACAAAAAAGUCACUCUGCCACUUCUCCCUGCUGAUAAACCAAGGGCAAGAAUUCAACCACAAAGACCCUUACAGAGCCUUAGCCCUCUGAAAACUUCCGGAUACAAAGCCAACUGACUAUGCUAGAUUACCAUCACAGUUAAAGGAACCCAGCCUUCUCAGAUGGGAAAAAAAUCAGAAUAAGAACUCUGGCAAUUCAGAAAGCCAGUGUCCCCUCACCUCCAAACAGGCCCACUAGGUUCCCAGCAAUGGUUAAUCAGUCUGAAAUGUCUGAAAUGGCAGACAUAGAAUUCAGAAUCUGGAUGGCUAGGAAGCUUAUCAAGACCAAGAGAAAGUUGAAACUCAAUCCAAGGAUGCAAAGCAAUUCAGUAAAAUGAUUCAAGAGUUGAAAGACUAAGAAGCCGUUUUAAGAAAGACCCAAAAUUGAACUUCUUGAACUGAAAAAUUCGCUACGAGAAUUUCAAACUACAAGCAGAACUAUUAACAGCAGAAUAGACCAAGCAGAGAAAAGAACCUCAGGGCUUGAAGACAGUUAAUUAAGUCAACUCAGUCAGGCAAAAAUAAAGAGAAAAAAUAAAGAAAAAUGAACAAAACCUCUGAGAAAUAUGCAAUUAUGCAAAGAAACCAAAUCUAUGACUCAUUGGCAUUCUUGAGAAAGAAAAAUAAUAAGCAACUUGGAAAGUAUAUUUGAGGACAUAGUCCAUGAAAAUUUCCCUAAACUCAUUAGAGAGGUUGACCUGCAAAUCCAAGAAAUAUAGAGGACCCUAGCCAGAUACUAUACAAGACAUCCAUCCCCAAGGCACGUGGUCAUCAGAUUCACUGAAGUGAACACAAAAGAAAACAUCUUAAAGGCAGCAAGAAAGAUGGGGAAUGUAACUUACAAAGGGAACCCAUCAGGCUAAUAGCAGACCUUUCGGCAGAAACCUUAUAAGCCAGAAGAGAUUGGGGGCCUAUUUUUAGCAUCUUGAAGAAAAAAAAUUCUAACCAAGAAUUUCAUAUGCUGCCAAACCAAGCUUCUUAAAUGAAGAUGAAAUAAAAUCCUUCUCAGAAAAGCAAAUUCUGAGGGAGUAUAUUUAAACUAGACCAGACUUACAAGACAUCCCCAGAAGUGGACCUGGUGAGGGAGUCCUCAGAUCCUCAGGUCCCCGGUGAGGGGGACCUGGUGAGGGAGUGCUAAACAUAGAAUUGAAAGAGCCUGCUACCACAAAAGACACUUCAGACCAUAGCCCACAAGAACUAUAAAGCAACUGCGUAAUUAAGUCUACAUAACAGCCAGUUAACAACACAAUGACAAAAUUAAAAUCAUUCCCAUCAAUAGUAACCUUGAAUAUAAAUGGGCUUAAUGCCCACUUAAAAGUCACAGAGUGGAAAGCCUGAUAAAAAGACAAGCCCCAAAUGUCAGUUUGCUUCAAGAAAUCCAUGUCACAUAUAAUAACACCCACAGGCUCAAAGUAAAAGAAUGGAGAAAAUUCUACCAUGCAAACUGAGAGGAAAAAAGAGCAGGAGUCACUAUACUUAUAUCAGAUAAAACAGACUUUAAAUAAAAAAUCAAGAAGGACAAUAAAAGGCAUUACAUAAUGAUAAAGGGUACAAUCCAACAAGAAGCCCUAACUGUUCUAAAUAUAUAUGCACCCAACAUUGGAGCACCCAGAUUCAUAAAAUAAGUUCUUCUUGGCCAACGAAAAACCUUAGACAAACACAAAAUACUAGUGGGAGGCUUGAACAUCCUACUGACAGCGUUAGAUCAUCAGGGCAGAAAGUUAACAAUGAAACUCUGGAUUUAAACUUGACACUUGACCAACUGGAUCUCAGACAGCUACAGGACACUACACCCAACAACCAAAAAAUAUACAUUUUUCUUGUCUGCACACAGAAUGUAUUCUAAGAUCAACCACAUGCUUGAUCAUAAAAAGUCUCAAUAAAUUCAAAAUGAUUGAAGUCAUACCAAAGCACAUUCUUGAAUCACAGUACAAUAAUAGUAGAAAUCAAUAUCAAGAUUGCCUCAAACUAUACAAAUACAUGAAAUUAACUAACUUACUCUAGCAUAACUCCUGGGUCAACAUCAAAAUUGAGGCAGAAAUCAAAAAAAUCGUUUGAAAUUAAUGAAAAUAGGGACACAACUUACCAAAAUCUCUGGAUGCAGCCAAGGCAGUGUUAAGAGGAAAGUUUAUAGCCCUAAAUGUCUUCAUCAAGAAGUUAAAAAAAUCUCAAAUUAACAAUCUAUCUUUGGAAAGGAAGAAACUAGGUCAACUAAGGGAAAGGAACUAGGGAGGAGAAAAUCCAAAACUAGCAGAAGAAAAACCACUGAAAUUAGAGAAGAACUUAAUGAAAUUGACAUGUAAAAAUCCAUACAAAAGAUCAAUAAAACCAAGACUUGGUUUUUCAAAAAAAUAAAAUCGAUAGGCCACUAGCCAGUUUAACAAAGAAAAAGAAAGAGAAGAUCCAAGAAAGCACAAUCAGAAAUGAAAAAGGUGGUUUUUUUUUUUAUCAGUAUCAUAACUGGUCCCACAGAAAUACAAAAGACCUUCAGAAACUAUUAUGAAUAACUCUAAGCACACAAAUUAGAAAAUCUAGAGGAAAUGGAUACUUUCCUGUAAGCACACGAUUUUCCAAGAUUGAAUCAGGAAAAGACUGUUAACGUGAAUAGACCAAUAUCAACUUCUGAAAUGGAAUCAGUAAUGAAAAACCUACCAACCAAAAAAGCCCUGGACCAGUUGGUUUCCCAGCUGAAUUCUACCAGACCGAAAGCAAUCCAACACAAAACUACAUGACUCAGAAAAUAUUGUAUAAAUUGUAGUUUAUCGUAGAAUUGUUUAAGGGCUCAAAUCCCUAGAGAUUCUAAUUCUGUUUCCUCUAAUUACCCCUCCUUCCUCACCUGCAUUUACAGAGAACACACAUUGGGCAAAAUAUGUGUCUGUCCUACUGGGAAAGUUUAUCAACUCUACAUCAUAGAACUGAGAACAAAUGCGGGGAGAGCUAAUGUUUUACCAAGAUGAACUUAACCAAACAAAGAGAUAGAAAUAAAAUUCAAAGCCAAGAGCCUUACGUAUAGAUAAAAAUGGAGGAAUGAGAACAUAGCAUUUAUCCAGGAAUCAUGAGUUAAUCAUGUUACCAGGCUUUAGGGCAAGGGGCUGGGUGAACAGUCACUAUAAUAUUACAUGCAUAGUUCUUUGAAAAUGUCAAGGAAAAGGCCGGGCGCAGUGGCUCACACCUGUAAUCCCAGCACUUUGGGAGGCCAAGGCAGGCAGAUCACGAGGUCAGGAGAUCGAGACCAUCCUGGCUAACAUAGUGAAACCCUGUCUCUACUAAAAAUACAAAAAAUAAAAAAUUAGCCAGGCGUGGUGGCGGGCACCUGUAGUCCCAGCUACUCAGGAGACUGAGGCAGGAUAAUGGCAUGAACCCAGGAGGCAGAGGUUGCAGUGAGGCGAGAUCACGCCACUGCACUCCAGCCUGGGUGACAGAGCGAGACUCUGUCUCAAAAAAAAAAAAAAA